GGGGGCGAGCGUUAUCCGGAUUCAUUGGGCGUAAAGCGCGCGUAGGCGGCCUUCUAAGUCAGAAGUCAAAUGCGGGAGCUCAACUUCCGUCUGCUUUUGAUACUGGGAGGCUCGAGUCUGGUAGGGGAAGGUGGAAUUCCCAGUGUAGCGGUGGAAUGCGCAGAUAUUGGGAAGAACACCGGUGGCGAAGGCGGCCUUCUGGGCCACGACUGACGCUGAGGCGCGAAAGCUAGGGGAGC
This 239-nucleotide ribosomal RNA is filed under the name uncultured bacterium. RNAcentral's name for it is "partial 16S ribosomal RNA". It matches the Rfam family "Bacterial small subunit ribosomal RNA", at positions 530 to 769 of the family's 1533-position model. The record is from RNAcentral.